GAUGAACGCUGGCGGCGUGCCUAAUACAUGCAAGUCGAGCGAACAGACGAGGAGCUUGCUCCUCUGACGUUAGCGGCGGACGGGUGAGUAACACGUGGAUAACCUACCUAUAAGACUGGGAUAACUUCGGGAAACCGGAGCUAAUACCGGAUAAUAUAUUGAACCGCAUGGUUCAAUAGUUAAAGACGGUUUUGCUGUCACUUAUAGAUGGAUCCGCGCCGCAUUAGCUAGUUGGUAAGGUAACGGCUUACCAAGGCGACGAUGCGUAGCCGACCUGAGAGGGUGAUCGGCCACACUGGAACUGAGACACGGUCCAGACUCCUACGGGAGGCAGCAGUAGGGAAUAUUCCGCAAUGGGCGAAAGCCUGACGGAGCAACGCCGCGUGAGUGAUGAAGGUCUUCGGAUCGUAAAACCCUGUUAUUAGGGAAGAACAAAUGUGUAAGUAACUAUGCACGUCUUGACGGUACCUAAUCAGAAAGCCACGGCUAACUACGUG
RNAcentral lists this ribosomal RNA (497 nucleotides) under uncultured bacterium. Its description in RNAcentral is "partial 16S ribosomal RNA". It matches the Rfam family "Bacterial small subunit ribosomal RNA", at positions 28 to 507 of the family's 1533-position model. The record is from RNAcentral.